ACGACUACAUAUCAGGCAUAUCAAUAAGCGGAGGAAAAGAAACUAACUAGGAUUCCCUCAGUAACGGCGAGUGAAGCGGGAAGAGCUCAAAUUUGAAAUCUUAAAGGUUUACCUUGACGAAUUGUAGUUUAAAGAAGUGUUUUCUGUUGAAGUUUCGGUAAAAGUUCUUUGGAAUAGGACAUCAUAGAGGGUGAGAAUCCCGUAUUUGACCGUUACUUUACCAGCUGUGUGAUACACUUUCAAAGAGUCGGAUUGUUUGGGAAUGCAGUCCAAAAUGGGUGGUAAAUUUCAUCUAAAGCUAAAUAUUGGCGAGAGACCGAUAGCGAACAAGUACCGUGAGGGAAAGAUGAAAAGAACUUUGAAAAGAGAGUUAAACAGUACGUGAAAUUGUCAAAAGGGAAGCGUUUGACACCAGUGUUGUUUUCUCGAAAAUCAAUUAAAAAGUAUGGGAUUUUGUAUUGUUAAGACCUUAUCAGCUUACGGUACUUUUUUCUUAUUCUUUUUAAUGCACUUUUCGUUUAACAAGUCAACAUCAAUUUCUUUUGUUGUAAAAGGUCAUUGGAAGGUGGCUUUCACUUCGGUGAAAGUGUUUAUAGCCUUUGGCUUCUGCAAUCGGAGAGAUUGAGGUCUGCAGCGUAGAUCCUUCGGGGUUAGAUACGUAGAUGCUAAGUUAUAGUUUUUCAUAGACAACUUGUCGACUAUGAUUAAUCAUGUAGCUUACUCGUUUGCGCUAUUUUACCUACGCUUAGGAUGUUGAAUCUGUGCGAGACUAC
RNAcentral lists this ribosomal RNA (773 nucleotides) under uncultured Neocallimastigales. RNAcentral describes it as "partial large subunit ribosomal RNA". It matches the Rfam family "Eukaryotic large subunit ribosomal RNA", at positions 24 to 644 of the family's 3401-position model. The record is from RNAcentral. Lineage: Eukaryota; Fungi; Neocallimastigomycota; Neocallimastigomycetes; Neocallimastigales.